AUGAAGUCACUCAAUCGCUCGCAGAGGAGCCGAUUUCCCAUACCUUUCUUUGGUUUGGCUCUUGUACUACUGGUCUUCUUGGCUUCUCCCACCAGAUCCUGCACAGAGCAGGAGAAGAGUUCCCUUCUCCAGCUUCUUGCUGGGCUCUCGCAGGAUGGUGGUCUCACGGCAUCAUGGCGGAGCAACACGGACUGCUGCAGGUGGGAAGGGAUCAGCUGCAGCCUGAAUAGGAUGGUCACUGAUGUUGUGCUAGCUUAUCGAGGGCUCGAGGGGUCCAUUUCGCCGUUUCUAGGCAACCUCACCAGCUUGUUGCGAUUCGAUCUCUCCCACAACUUGCUGUCUGGUGGCUUACCGCUAGAAUUGUUGCAGUCCAGCAGCAUCCUUGUCCUUGACGUCAGUUUUAACCGCCUGACAGGAGGCCUGAGUGAGCUGCCAUCUUCCACCCCUGUGCGGCCUCUGCAGGUACUAAACAUCUCGAGCAACUUGUUUACAGGAAGAUUUCCAUCCACUAUAUGGGAGGUGAUGAAGAGCCUCGUUGCCCUCAAUGCCAGCACCAACAGUUUUACCGGGCAGAUGCCAACUAUGUCUUGUGUUAGCGCGCCAUCUUUUGCAGUGCUUGAGCUCAGUUUUAACAAAUUCAGUGGAAACAUUCCUCCAGGACUCAGCAAUUGCUCCCUGCUGAAAUUGCUCAGCGCUGGCAACAACCACCUCAGUGGAACACUUCCAGAUGAACUCUUCAAGGUUACCACAUUAGAGCACCUCUCGUUACCUUUCAAUUGGUUAGAAGGAGAGCUCAAAGGCAUCAUCAAUCUAACAAAUCUGGUCACCCUUGAUCUUGGGAAGAAUGAGUUCAGAGGCAACAUACCAGAAUCUAUAGGUGAGCUGAAGAAGUUGGAGGAGCUUCUCUUGGAUCACAACAGCAUGUCAGGGGAGCUUCCGUCAGCGCUGAGCAACUGCACAAACCUCGUAACGCUUGACCUCAAGGUAAACCAUUUUAACGGAGAAUUUACCAAGAUCAACUUUUUAAGCCUGCCCAAUCUAAAAAUAUUAGAUAUUCUUUCCAACGACUUCACUGGCACAAUUCCAGAAAGCAUAUACUCCUGCAGCAAGCUAACCGCACUACGGCUAUCUUUCAAUCAUUUCCAUGGCCAAUUGUCAGAAAAGAUAGGCAAUCUGAAGUCUCUCUCGUUUCUAGCACUUGUUAACCUCUCCCUUACGAAUAUCACAAGAACACUUCAGAUCCUUGGGAGUUCCAGGAGCCUCACCACUAUUUUUAUUGGGUUCAAUUUCCUUCAUGAGACCAUGCCAGAGGAUGACAACAUUGGUGGUUUUGAGAAUCUUCAGGUUCUUUCUAUGAAUUAUUGUUCAUUGUCUGGAACAUUACCUGGUUGGUUAUCAAAGCUCACCAAGUUGGGGAUGCUAUUUUUGCAAAGCAAUCAACUUACUGGACCAAUACCUGACUGGAUCAGCAGCCUAAAGUUGCUCUUCUAUCUAGACUUAUCAAACAACAGCUUUACGGGGGAAAUUCCAACUGCCUUAAUGGAGAUGCCAAUGCUAAAAUCAGACAAGACUGCACCGAAGAUCUUCUCUGAGCUGCCUCUUUAUUUUUUCAGUCCAUUUGUCGAAUACCUCAAACCUGGUGCUUUUCCAAAAGUGCUCAAUCUAGGCAUCAAUAAUUUCACUGGUGUGAUCCCAGAGGAGAUCGGUCAGUUACAAGGGCUCCUUUUACUCAAUUUGAGUUCCAACAAAUUAUCUGGAGAGAUUCCACAACAGAUAGGCACCUUGACGAACCUGCAGCUGCUCGACUUGUCCAGCAACCAUUUCACUAGUACAAUUCCGGCCACACUAAACAAUCUGCACUUCCUUUCCAAAUUCAACAUUUCUAAUAAUGACCUCGAAGGCUCUAUUCCAACUGCGGGCCAGCUUAGCACAUUUCCAGAUUCUAGCUUUGAUGGAAACCCAAAAUUGUGUGGUCUGAUGAUUGUAAACCAUUGCGGUUCAGCAGAAGCAGCUUCAGAGUCCAUCAUCUCCAGAGAACAAAUUGGCAGUAAGGUCAUCUUUGCGAUCGCCUUUGGUGCUUUCUUUGGCGUAGGAGUCCUAUAUGAUCAGAUGGUCUUAGCCAGAUAUUUUGGCUAA
Molecule: ribosomal RNA, 2136 nt
Filed under: Triticum aestivum (bread wheat)
Lineage: Eukaryota; Viridiplantae; Streptophyta; Magnoliopsida; Poales; Poaceae
Description: partial small subunit ribosomal RNA
Source: RNAcentral